GGGUGAUUAGCUCAGUGGCAGAGCAUUAUCUUCACACGAUAGGGGCCGCAGGUUCAAUCCCUGCAUCACCCA
Molecule: transfer RNA, 72 nt
Filed under: Candidatus Niyogibacteria bacterium RIFCSPLOWO2_12_FULL_41_13
Lineage: Bacteria; Candidatus Niyogiibacteriota
Description: tRNA-Val
Rfam family: tRNA
About the family: Transfer RNA (tRNA) molecules are approximately 80 nucleotides in length. Their secondary structure includes four short double-helical elements and three loops (D, anti-codon, and T loops).
Source: RNAcentral